AAAAAUAAAUAAAUGUAGUGAGAUUUCAAAAGGUUUGGAUCUAUAAAGUAUUUGACCUAGAUGAUUGUAAAUGUAUUGUUGAGGAUACAAAUGAGUCACGGUUUGUAAGUUAUUUUUUGCAAAAUUUGUACUUUUUUAUUGUUUAUUUAUGCACCAUUUUUGCUCUAUUUUUUCGAAAGUGUAUGUUCAGAAACUAAAUCUACAUUAAUUAUGGUUUUUACCAUAAGUUAAAAUAGAAAAGAUAAUUAUAAUUGCACAGUUAUUAAUUAUAAUGGCUUAACUAGAAGAAAUCGAUAUAUAAAUAUUAAUAUCUAAAUUAAUAUGUACCAUGUAUUCAUUUCUACAUUAAAAAUAUAAAAAUUUACAAAAUGUAUAUGCAUGAUGCAUUGAUGGUUAUUUUUAAGUUCUUAAUUCUUAAAGUUAUGUGUUAAAUUUUCUUUUUGAUUCAACCGCAGUCCUAUGUUAAACUUAAUACCUUGAUUAUAACAAUAAAUACCUUAUAACCAUGUUUCUAAGUUGUUUCCUUGUAAAUGUGCUCAACAAAAAAACCGUUUUUGUUUUCUUUUUCCAUACACACUCAAGUAUCUAAAAUCAAAGCCUAUGUUUCCAUUGACUCUAUGUAACUCCGAAGAUAUUAACAGUGCAAUAACCUUGCUUAACUAAAUAAGUUUAUGAAUCCAAUCAUUGCUUGUAUCCACUAACCUUUGUUUCUUCAUCAUGCACCGAUCAUUCCUAUAGAAUCCCAUCAAACAUCACAAAAUCCUUGGACACACAUCCCUUGACAUCUAAUUCUAAUCCAUUUUAAAGGUGUACUCAAUUCAUAUUUUUUAAAAUUUUAUUAAUUUUAAAUUCUAGAAUUAUAUAAAUUUAAUUGUUUUUAAAAUUGUUUUAGAAAUGGAUGAUUUUUUUAAUACUGUUUAUUAAUUGGAAUAUUUUUUGAAUAAUGAUUAUUAAGAUAAUAAUAAUUUUUUCUUUUGAGAGAUUUCAAACAAAAAAAUUAAUUAGGAGAAUUUCGUGAAGAUGACACAUUAGUAUGAAGCUAGGAUUUUGUUUAGGGUUACCAUCAUGACAACCUUAAAUUUAUAUUAAGUAGAUAAUAUUUAAUAUAUGUAUUUACCUUUAACUUAAAAGUUAUAACAAUAAACUAUAUACGAGAUAAAUCAAAAACUACAAUUCCUUAAAUUUUUCAAUUAACACAAAAAAGUCUUCCUUGAAUGUUUCAAAAUACCCUACAAAUAUUCCUUAAAUAUUUCACAACAUAUAACAAACUUUAUUUUCUUAUAUAAAUAUAGUUGUUGUGCUUACACCCAACACAUUCUUUUUCUAAGUUAUCAUAUUUUAUAAAUCCAAAACCUUUUGCAAUCCAUAUAUAAAAAUAAAUAAAUGUAGUGAGAUUUCAAAAGGUUUGGAUCUAUAAAGUAUUUGACCUAGAUGAUUGUAAAUGUAUUGUUGAGGAUACAAAUGAGUCACGGUUUGUAAGUUAUUUUUUGCAAAAUUUGUACUUUUUUAUUGUUUAUUUAUGCACCAUUUUUGCUCUAUUUUUUCGAAAGUGUAUGUUCAGAAACUAAAUCUACAUUAAUUAUGGUUUUUACCAUAAGUUAAAAUAGAAAAGAUAAUUAUAAUUGCACAGUUAUUAAUUAUAAUGGCUUAACUAGAAGAAAUCGAUAUAUAAAUAUUAAUAUCUAAAUUAAUAUGUACCAUGUAUUCAUUUCUACAUUAAAAAUAUAAAAAUUUACAAAAUGUAUAUGCAUGAUGCAUUGAUGGUUAUUUUUAAGUUCUUAAUUCUUAAAGUUAUGUGUUAAAUUUUCUUUUUGAUUCAACCGCAGUCCUAUGUUAAACUUAAUACCUUGAUUAUAACAAUAAAUACCUUAUAACCAUGUUUCUAAGUUGUUUCCUUGUAAAUGUGCUCAACAAAAAAACCGUUUUUGUUUUCUUUUUCCAUACACACUCAAGUAUCUAAAAUCAAAGCCUAUGUUUCCAUUGACUCUAUGUAACUCCGAAGAUAUUAACAGUGCAAUAACCUUGCUUAACUAAAUAAGUUUAUGAAUCCAAUCAUUGCUUGUAUCCACUAACCUUUGUUUCUUCAUCAUGCACCGAUCAUUCCUAUAGAAUCCCAUCAAACAUCACAAAAUCCUUGGACACACAUCCCUUGACAUCUAAUUCUAAUCCAUUUUAAAGGUGUACUCAAUUCAUAUUUUUUAAAAUUUUAUUAAUUUUAAAUUCUAGAAUUAUAUAAAUUUAAUUGUUUUUAAAAUUGUUUUAGAAAUGGAUGAUUUUUUUAAUACUGUUUAUUAAUUGGAAUAUUUUUUGAAUAAUGAUUAUUAAGAUAAUAAUAAUUUUUUCUUUUGAGAGAUUUCAAACAAAAAAAUUAAUUAGGAGAAUUUCGUGAAGAUGACACAUUAGUAUGAAGCUAGGAUUUUGUUUAGGGUUACCAUCAUGACAACCUUAAAUUUAUAUUAAGUAGAUAAUAUUUAAUAUAUGUAUUUACCUUUAACUUAAAAGUUAUAACAAUAAACUAUAUACGAGAUAAAUCAAAAACUACAAUUCCUUAAAUUUUUCAAUUAACACAAAAAAGUCUUCCUUGAAUGUUUCAAAAUACCCUACAAAUAUUCCUUAAAUAUUUCACAACAUAUAACAAACUUUAUUUUCUUAUAUAAAUAUAGUUGUUGUGCUUACACCCAACACAUUCUUUUUCUAAGUUAUCAUAUUUUAUAAAUCCAAAACCUUUUGCAAUCCAUAUAUAAAAAUAAAUAAAUGUAGUGAGAUUUCAAAAGGUUUGGAUCUAUAAAGUAUUUGACCUAGAUGAUUGUAAAUGUAUUGUUGAGGAUACAAAUGAGUCACGGUUUGUAAGUUAUUUUUUGCAAAAUUUGUACUUUUUUAUUGUUUAUUUAUGCACCAUUUUUGCUCUAUUUUUUCGAAAGUGUAUGUUCAGAAACUAAAUCUACAUUAAUUAUGGUUUUUACCAUAAGUUAAAAUAGAAAAGAUAAUUAUAAUUGCACAGUUAUUAAUUAUAAUGGCUUAACUAGAAGAAAUCGAUAUAUAAAUAUUAAUAUCUAAAUUAAUAUGUACCAUGUAUUCAUUUCUACAUUAAAAAUAUAAAAAUUUACAAAAUGUAUAUGCAUGAUGCAUUGAUGGUUAUUUUUAAGUUCUUAAUUCUUAAAGUUAUGUGUUAAAUUUUCUUUUUGAUUCAACCGCAGUCCUAUGUUAAACUUAAUACCUUGAUUAUAACAAUAAAUACCUUAUAACCAUGUUUCUAAGUUGUUUCCUUGUAAAUGUGCUCAACAAAAAAAAUCGCUUUUGUU
RNAcentral lists this long non-coding RNA (3302 nucleotides) under Lathyrus oleraceus (garden pea). RNAcentral describes it as "Pisum sativum (pea) long non-coding RNA (PSAT_LNC040574)". Lineage: Eukaryota; Viridiplantae; Streptophyta; Magnoliopsida; Fabales; Fabaceae. The record is from RNAcentral.